RNAcentral lists this ribosomal RNA (793 nucleotides) under uncultured marine bacterium. RNAcentral's name for it is "bacterial SSU rRNA". It matches the Rfam family "Bacterial small subunit ribosomal RNA", at positions 8 to 781 of the family's 1533-position model. The record is from RNAcentral.
AGAGUUUGAUCAUGGCUCAGAUUGAACGCUGGCGGUAACUUUUAAACAUGCAAGUCGAGCGGUAACAGACAUAAAGAUUCAGCUUGCUGAAUCCGGUGCUGACGAGCGGCGAACGGGUGAGUAACGCGUAGGAAUCUACCCAGUAGCGGGGGAUAGCCCGAGGAAACUCGGAUUAAUACCGCAUACGCCCUGAGGGGGAAAGGGGGCAGUUUACUGCUCUCACUAUUGGAUGAGCCUGCGUAAGAUUAGCUUGUUGGUAGGGUAAUGGCCUACCAAGGCGACGAUCUUUAGCUGGUCUGAGAGGACGAUCAGCCACAUUGGGACUGAGACACGGCCCAGACAUCUACGGAUGGCAGCAGUUAAGAAUAUUGGACAAUGGGGGCAACCCUGACCCAGGUAUACCGCGUGUGUGAAGAAGGCCCUAGGGUUGUAAAGCACUUUAAUCAGAGAAGAAGCAUUUUAAAUUAAUACCUUAAAAUGUUGACGUUACCUGAAGAAUAAGGACCGGCUAACUCCGUGCCAGCAGCCGCGGUAAUACGGAGGGUCCAAGCGUUAAUCGGAAUUACUGGGCGUAAAGCGCGCGUAGGCGGUUUAGCAAGUUGUAUGUGAAAGCCCUGGGCUCAACCUAGGAACUGCAUCCAAAACUACUAAGCUAGAGUACGAGAGAGGAGAGUAGAAUUUCUGGUGUAGCGGUGAAAUGCGUAGAUAUCAGAAGGAAUACCAAUGGCGAAGGCAGCUCUCUGGCUCGUCACUGACGCUGAGGUGCGAAAGCGUGGGUAGCAAACAGGAUUAG